ACUUUGUGAAAGUAAGAACUGCUGG
RNAcentral lists this non-coding RNA (25 nucleotides) under Cricetulus griseus (Chinese hamster). Lineage: Eukaryota; Metazoa; Chordata; Mammalia; Rodentia; Cricetidae. The record is from RNAcentral.